AUACGUAGGGGGCGAGCGUUGUCCGGAAUUAUUGGGCGUAAAGGGCGCGCAGGCGGUCAUAUAAGUCGGUUGUGAAAGUCUAGGGCUUAACUCUAGGAUGCCGGCCGAAACUGUAUGGCUUGAGGGCAAGAGAGGGAGGCGGAAUUCCCGGUGUAGCGGUGAUAUGCGUAGAUAUCGGGAGGAACACCAGUGGCGAAGGCGGCCUCCUGGAUUGCACCUGACGCUGAGGCGCGAAAGCUGGGGGAGCGAACGGGAUUAGAUACCCCGGUAGUCCCAGCCGUAAACGAUGGAUGCUAGGUGUAGGGGGUAUCGACCCCCUCUGUGCCGCAGUUAACGCAUUAAGCAUCCCGCCUGGGGAGUACGGCCGCAAGGCUGAA
This 377-nucleotide ribosomal RNA is filed under the name uncultured bacterium. RNAcentral describes it as "bacterial SSU rRNA". It matches the Rfam family "Bacterial small subunit ribosomal RNA", at positions 523 to 898 of the family's 1533-position model. The record is from RNAcentral.